GCCGCUGACCUGGUAAAACGUAUGAAAAUCCGACGGCCUCCGGAGCCGUGUGCGCAGGUUCGAAUCCUGCCGGGGGCCCCA
Molecule: transfer RNA, 81 nt
Filed under: Streptomyces sp. CdTB01
Lineage: Bacteria; Bacillati; Actinomycetota; Actinomycetes; Kitasatosporales; Streptomycetaceae
Description: tRNA-Arg
Source: RNAcentral